CAGUCGCCGCGGUAAUACAGAGGGUGCGAGCGUUAAUCGGAUUUACUGGGCGUAAAGCGUGCGUAGGCGGCUUUUUAAGUCGGAUGUGAAAUCCCUGAGCUUAACUUAGGAAUUGCAUUCGAUACUGGGAAGCUAGAGUAUGGGAGAGGAUGGUAGAAUUCCAGGUGUAGCGGUGAAAUGCGUAGAGAUCUGGAGGAAUACCGAUGGCGAAGGCAGCCAUCUGGCCUAAUACUGACGCUGAGGUACGAAAGCAUGGGGAGCAAACAGGAUUAGAGACCCCGGUAGUCCCUGUCUCUUAUAC
Molecule: ribosomal RNA, 301 nt
Filed under: uncultured bacterium
Lineage: Bacteria
Description: partial 16S ribosomal RNA
Rfam family: Bacterial small subunit ribosomal RNA
Source: RNAcentral